This 1602-nucleotide long non-coding RNA is filed under the name Stylophora pistillata. RNAcentral's name for it is "uncharacterized LOC111338960". Lineage: Eukaryota; Metazoa; Cnidaria; Anthozoa; Scleractinia; Pocilloporidae. The record is from RNAcentral.
UAUCACCGUUAUCUGUUCUGCCGGUGUGAUCUAUAGUGCCCGUAAGGUAAUUAACCUACGAAAUACAAGCCUUGAGUUGGAAGAAAAGUCCGCGGAAAUUUCGCAAACAAAAGAAGUAAUAUACAGAGAUGUGUUUUUCUUCCUGCAUGUGACAUAUCUGACUAAAUUUCUUAAGAAAGCCAAUGUUCUUCCUUUCGCAUGCUGGAGUCUCUGUAGAGAUAAACAUGUGAAGUUCUGUAAUGAGUAUCCAAAAGCAGAUCCUAGCAUUCAGUGCCACGGGUCAGCUUAUGACCAUUUGCUGAUUGUGGCAUAGGUUUCAACAGCUUUCAUCCUUGCCUUACGUGUUUCUUUUUUUGUCGUCCUUUGUAGGCACCACAGAAUAAAGAGAUCCAUCAAUGAUGGCGACAUUAGCACUGGAGAGGAAAUUGUCACAGGAUUACGAUUCCUUUUCGAAAAUUACAAGCCUCAUUCUUGCAGGCCUUUUAUUGGUUGGGCUUGGGUCAGAGCUGUUCAAUACCUGAUGUUUUUGCAUCAAGACUUAAAUGGGUGGCGCAAAAAUCCGCAAUGGUCAUUUGCUUGCUAUCUGGCAUUACUUCUUCCACUAAAGUACUUACAAGAGGAAAUUCGCGGUAUGGUUGGUACGAGCCUACCUAAAGCUCAGCUUGAUACUGGAAUGAUGGAGAAACCGUCCGUUGCCGCUUGCGCGGAGGACACGGUAGCCCUGAGUUUUGAUCUAUCCCGGAAGAACGGUGUACUGAGGGAUGAUAAAAACAGCGCGGAAUCGAAUAAGGAAAACCAAGAAGUCAUCAUGCAUAGCGACGAGAAAUACCAUCGCACACAAACAGAGAUAUGCAUGUGGAGUACACCUCAUUUUAAUGAUCACUAAAAGGAAACCAACGGAUUUCAACCUCUUACACUCGGAUGCUUCUUGUUAAAAGAGACACCAGCAGCGAUCAUUUCAUCAGAAGGAAAAAGAGGAUUUCAACCAAUGAGGCACGAGAAAGCUAAGAAAGGAUUUCGGAUUGUUAUCAUGAUAAUCUUUACGACAAACGAUUGCGGAACCAUGACCAUGUACUUUGUAUGUCCCUGUCUAUAAGAAAUGCUCUUACUUGUUUGAAUCGCUACGUGAUAAACACGUGAGCCUUUCUACGGUAACGCUAAAAUACCCCGUGCCCACACUUUUCGCGCGCCUGCUAUAUACCUUUUGCCAGUGAUGUGCUUGAUGGUUUUUGGUCGAACAGAAAAAAAUACCUUCAAAUUUUGUAGAUAUCGACAACGGUCGCAUGCUAAAAGUAGUUCAACAUUUGCAUUUUUUAAAAAAGUUUGAAAUUUGUAAAAAAUUUAUAUGAUAGGUGCUUUUGUAAGAGUUCUACGCUUGCGCAUGGAAAGACUAUAAUUUCCUCUUUAACCAAUAUCUUUUUCUUGGCACAAGGUAAUUUUAUUUCCACAGCCUUUUUUAAUAAGCUACUAUAACCUCAAUAAAGUAAUGAUAAUAAUAGUAAUAAUAAUAUUGGUUUAUUAAUAGCAUUUCCAUGGGUAAAAUGGCUCUUCACUUGUUAUACAAAUGUUGUAGAGCAUUUUCAAGGUUUAAAUUUCAAGUAU